CUAACAGGGCCCUCCCUGAACCUCAGGGAGGUGAGUUCCCAGAGAACGGGUCUCCGCGCGAGGGCAGACUGGGCAGGAGAUGCCAUGAGACCCCGCCCUUGAGGAGGGGCCUGGCGGAUGCCUCCUGAGCCGGAGCUUGGAACAGACUCACGGCCAGCGAAGUGAGUUCAAUGGCUGAGGUGAGGUACCCCGUCAGGGGGCCUCAUAACCCAAUUCAGACUACUCUCCCUCCGAC
Molecule: long non-coding RNA, 235 nt
Filed under: Sus scrofa (pig)
Lineage: Eukaryota; Metazoa; Chordata; Mammalia; Artiodactyla; Suidae
Description: Nuclear RNase P (ENSSSCG00030049149.1)
Rfam family: Nuclear RNase P
About the family: Ribonuclease P (RNase P) is a ubiquitous endoribonuclease, found in archaea, bacteria and eukarya as well as chloroplasts and mitochondria. Its best characterised activity is the generation of mature 5'-ends of tRNAs by cleaving the 5'-leader elements of precursor-tRNAs. Cellular RNase Ps are ribonucleoproteins.
Source: RNAcentral